GACGAACGCUGGCGGCGUGCUUAACACAUGCAAGUCGAACGGAAAGGCCCUGCUUUUGUGGGGUGCUCGAGUGGCGAACGGGUGAGUAACACGUGAGUAACCUGCCCUUGACUUUGGGAUAACUUCAGGAAACUGGGGCUAAUACCGGAUAGGAGCUCCUGCUGCAUGGUGGGGGGUGGAAAGUUUCGGCGGUUGGGGAUGGACUCGCGGCUUAUCAGCUUGUUGGUGGGGUAGUGGCUUACCAAGGCUUUGACGGGUAGCCGGCCUGAGAGGGUGACCGGCCACAUUGGGACUGAGAUACGGCCCAGACUCCUCCGGGAGGCAGCAGUGGGGAAUAUUGACCAAUGGGCGGAAGCCUGAUGCAGCACCGCCGCGUGGGGGAUGACGGCCUUCGGGUUGUAAACCGCUUUCGCCUGUGACGAAGCGUGAGUGACGGUAAUGGGUAAAGAAGCACCGGCUAACUACGUG
Molecule: ribosomal RNA, 468 nt
Filed under: uncultured bacterium
Lineage: Bacteria
Description: partial 16S ribosomal RNA
Rfam family: Bacterial small subunit ribosomal RNA
Source: RNAcentral